AUAAACAUUAGGUCCAAAUCCAAUCCAUAUAUUUUGAUCAAAGUGGAGUUGCUGCUGCUGAGUGUUGACACCUGACGGGCGGCGAGAGGUGUUGGGCGACGAGACGACUCGCCGUCGACCUUCCAAUCUCCGGUCUUAGAGUCUCAGAGUGUGAAUCUGUGAUCCCCUUUUCUUUCUCUCUCUCCCUCUCUGUUUUUUUUUUUUCAUUAAAUUUUUGUUUUUGGUUUUUGUCCUAUGUUUUGUCAAUGAUAUAGCAGAGUAAAUUUCGUUUCAGGGGUUUGAAGAUGACUGUCGAGUGUUGAUUACUGGGGAGCCUUCUUAAUGAUGCAUUUCAAAGAGAAGUUGGGAACCAAUUCAUGGAGAAAGUUUAAAGGACUCUGGACUAGAGUCCUCACUCCUCGCUCAGGUUCCUUCAGAUUUUUUUUUUCAACGCUGACUCUUAAAGAUUUUUCUGUUUUUCAUUUGUUCUUCCUGCUUUCCUAAAUUAUGGGCUCUACUAGGUUGUUGUUGUUGUUGUUGUUAUUAUUUAUUUAUUUAUUUAUUUAUUUUGCAGAAUUUUCGCAUAUCUGUUUUAAUAUGCAUUUGGUCUAUUAAAUUUCAGAGUGCGUUUUGUUGCAUCAUUGUUCCCCCUUUUUUUCCCCUUUUCCAAGAGAAUGUUGUAUGUACGUGGAUAAUGUUAUCAAUCUUGUAUGUUCUAUUUGUUAUGAUUGUGAUUUAUGAUAAGUAAUUUAUGUUUUGGGGCCGUUCCUUAGACACGUGAAUUUGACAAACGUUUUUGACAAAUAAUCCGGGGCCUUUAAUUAAAUCGAUCCAACGCUCACAAUUUAUCUAUCAAAACAAUAAAAAAUUCAUAAAUCUUACAUCCAAUCACCCCCAAUUAACUUAUAUUAAUCCCUAAAAUCUCUCAACUAAACCCUGAUUUUCCAUCCUCAUCUCAUUCCAUACUCCAUCACCAUCCAAAUUCAUCAUCUCUCUCACAGAAGACUGAAUCUCUCUUGAAUCCGACUGCAGCCUCCUAAUAGUAGCCACAACUGCAAGUUCUUGAAGUCCUGCUCAAAAUACUGACAAUGGCUAAUAUUGUGUACUUCACAGAUAUACAAGAUCGGAAUUUUUUUGUUAUUAACAUAAGGUUAAGAUUGUGUACUUCACUGAAAUUUGAUUUCUUAAUCAAAGAUGAUGGUGAAAUCGUUAACUGGUUUUGAAUUAGGUCAAACAUAGAGGAUUCCAAACCACAUAUUAUAAUUUCAUAGAGGGGGAAUUCAACAACAUUAUACAACAAAAUUCCUGGGGCAAAAUUAUAAGAAAUUCUUGGAGACUUUGGAUGAUAUUGAAGUAAAAGAAGAUGCCGUCCCAAAGUGUUGAAGAUGUUCA
This 1371-nucleotide long non-coding RNA is filed under the name Olea europaea subsp. europaea. The record is from RNAcentral. Lineage: Eukaryota; Viridiplantae; Streptophyta; Magnoliopsida; Lamiales; Oleaceae.